Molecule: long non-coding RNA, 256 nt
Filed under: Trifolium pratense (red clover)
Lineage: Eukaryota; Viridiplantae; Streptophyta; Magnoliopsida; Fabales; Fabaceae
Description: long non-coding RNA (TPRA_LNC004081)
Source: RNAcentral
CAUGGAGCUUGUGGCGAGCCCAUAAUAAUAUAAUGUUUAGAGGAGAUGUCAUUAACUUGCAAUCCUUAGUGGAUCAAAUUAUUUAUAUCUCCUGGUUUUGGUUUGUUGGUAGAAUAGCUUCUAAGUCUUCUCUUGUAUUUUCAGAUAGGUGUAAAGAUCCAUUAUCUUGCAUUUUUAGCAUCUAAUGGCUUCUUUUAGAAUUGUAAGGGUUAGGUACCCCUUGUACUCCUUAUAAUUCAUUCUUUGCUUAUAAAAA